GAUGAACGCUGGCGGCGUGCUUAACACAUGCAAGUCGAACGAAGCAUUUGAGUGGAAGUUUUCGGACGGAAGCUUAAAUGACUUAGUGGCGGACGGGUGAGUAACGCGUGGGUAACCUGCCUUGUACAGGGGGAUAACAGUUAGAAAUGACUGCUAAUACCGCAUAAGCCUUUAGUGCCGCAUGGCACAGAAGGAAAAGAUUUAUCGGUACAAGAUGGACCCGCGUCUGAUUAGCUAGUUGGUGAGGUAACGGCCCACCAAGGCGACGAUCAGUAGCUGGUCUGAGAGGACGACCAGCCACACUGGAACUGAGACACGGUCCAGACACCUACGGGAGGCAG
Molecule: ribosomal RNA, 341 nt
Filed under: uncultured Bacillota bacterium
Lineage: Bacteria; Bacillati; Bacillota
Description: bacterial SSU rRNA
Rfam family: Bacterial small subunit ribosomal RNA
Source: RNAcentral